RNAcentral lists this ribosomal RNA (817 nucleotides) under Vreelandella aquamarina. Its description in RNAcentral is "bacterial SSU rRNA". It matches the Rfam family "Bacterial small subunit ribosomal RNA", at positions 60 to 874 of the family's 1533-position model. The record is from RNAcentral. Lineage: Bacteria; Pseudomonadati; Pseudomonadota; Gammaproteobacteria; Oceanospirillales; Halomonadaceae.
UGUCGAGCGGUAACAGAUCCAGCUUGCUGGAUGCUGACGAGCGGCGGACGGGUGAGUAAUGCAUAGGAAUCUGCCCGAUAGUGGGGGAUAACCUGGGGAAACCCAGGCUAAUACCGCAUACGUCCUACGGGAGAAAGGGGGCUCCGGCUCCCGCUAUGGGAUGAGCCUAUGUCGGAUUAGCUGGUUGGUGAGGUAACGGCUCACCAAGGCCACGAUCCGUAGCUGGUCUGAGAGGAUGAUCAGCCACAUCGGGACUGAGACACGGCCCGAACUCCUACGGGAGGCAGCAGUGGGGAAUAUUGGACAAUGGGGGAAACCCUGAUCCAGCCAUGCCGCGUGUGUGAAGAAGGCCCUCGGGUUGUAAAGCACUUUCAGCGAGGAAGAACGCCUAGCGGUUAAUACCCGCUAGGAAAGACAUCACUCGCAGAAGAAGCACCGGCUAACUCCGUGCCAGCAGCCGCGGUAAUACGGAGGGUGCAAGCGUUAAUCGGAAUUACUGGGCGUAAAGCGCGCGUAGGUGGCUUGAUAAGCCGGUUGUGAAAGCCCCGGGCUCAACCUGGGAACGGCAUCCGGAACUGUCAAGCUAGAGUGCAGGAGAGGAAGGUAGAAUUCCCGGUGUAGCGGUGAAAUGCGUAGAGAUCGGGAGGAAUACCAGUGGCGAAGGCGGCCUUCUGGACUGACACUGACACUGAGGUGCGAAAGCGUGGGUAGCAAACAGGAUUAGAUACCCUGGUAGUCCACGCCGUAAACGAUGUCGACCAGCCGUUGGGUGCCUAGCGCACUUUGUGGCGAAGUUAACGCGAUAAGUCGACCGCCU